CCGCUACCAACAGGGUCCCUCUGUAUCUCAGGAACACAGCACCCACUGACACCUGACAUACUAGGAGCAGCACCCCACCCAGCGUCAUCUUCAGAGCCUCAGACGUGUCCCAGGACAAAACAACAAAGGUGGGAUCAAUGGUGGCCAAAACAUCCCCAGUUCACACGAGCAGCUUCAGGAGUCACUGGAGAGCGGGCAGCAGGAAUGCUCACAACAAUGACACACAGUGUUUUCAGAUGAUGGACUCUCAUGAAGUGCUCUCUUGCAGUGCCUCUCCUCGAACAGAAUGCAGUUUGUGGCAUGAAAGACAAACAACUCAUGCACACACACCACACAAACACACAUGCGCACGCACACACUUCCACACUACUUGAACCCUGGGGCAGAAUGCCAAAGAGCUGGAGGAAUGUGACCCGGUGACCUUGGCUUGCAGACUUCCACAUGGAGACCGGACACUAGGAUGGUGUGCAUCGGAAGAGGAGGCCAGAAUAGCUCCGGUGUCCAGUAACGGGAGACAGACUCUGUUUGUAAACUGUGGCCAUAUGACACACUGAGAGCCUGCAGCGCACAUGUAUGCGCACAGACCCACAGUGAGUGCAUGCAGUGGGGCUCCAAGUCAUGCAUCAAAGAUGGUGGAGAUAGCAGUGUACCACAGCUGCUGGAAAUAUAUGUCACACUUUUUGUAAACUACACAGGUAGGUAGAUUGUCAGAGCAUUGCAGUUGAAGCCUGUUGAUUUAGAAAGUGUCUCCAUCACAGAAUUCGUAAUAGUUUUACUGGUUACACAACCUGCACUUUAAACUUAAUGUAGUUUAUUUUAUUUUUGCCCAUUUACUUUGGGAAAAUUAGGAGACGCUGUGGUUUUUAAAACAGAGAAAAUGCUCAACUGUAUGGACAGACGUUCAGUGUUAAUCUUUUUUUUUACUCCUCUGCACAGACAGGCCAGGGGUAAACCCCACCCUCUGUGCUCGGAGAGAGGACAGAGAUACAAGUGACAGAUCAGGUCCAACCAGUCACAGAUGACAAACCUUCAGUGUUGCCCCACGAUUAUCUGACAAACAUUUGAGCCCUCUGCGAGAGUCUUUCUUUGAACAGGUUUGAUUUCUUCAUCAGGGAAUUAGCUUAUUUGAAUUUCCACAAAUUGUUUUGCAUAUUAGUUUCCCUGGCACAGAUGAUUGACUGUUAAAGGAAGCUAGUAGGAGGCUUUCUUUUAUUGUACUUUAUCGCUAAGAAUACUUAUGUUCAUAGCGUUAGCACAUAACCCUUAAAAUCCACUGUGGGUUCAUCUGAUUCCCCACUUACUCAUAAAGUACCUGACGACUCUGGCUCAGGAGACAGUCAGCUUUGAAGCCCGAGGAGGCGGUCUCCAGACUCGUGUGUAGUUUGUGUUUGUGCCCUAUCAGUCUUGCUGAGCACACAGGUGCAGAUCCUACCUGAGGCAGACGGUCUGGUGCCAGCGGGUUGUAAAGCAAUCAGACGGUGGUAAUAUAUCCCUCAGCCUAUCAAAUAGCUAACAGAGCAGGAAAGGAACAGCGUGUUGAUCCAGAAACAAACAGCACACAGCCUCCACCCCCCUCCCCAUCUGGCCCAGGAUGAUCUGUUUUGGUCUCCCUCCAUCACUGUCACUCCAGAAACAGACUCCCCGUGCCACAUUCAGACGCUGCAGCCGUCCUCCAUGGUGGGUAGAGUUACCAAUCACACACUCAGCACUGAAAGUGAGCAUCUAAUUUUGAACUUGAGUAUCGGAAAGGUUUUAUUUAAGACAAAGCUUUGUGGCCAGCAGCACAUAUUAGCAGCUGACACUGAACCUCAACAAAGGAAGACACUGUAUACUUGAUGCUACAGAGAGCAGAGAAACCCUGUAUGGCUUAUUGGAUUGAUUUCCAUCACAGGAGACUGCUGUAUGUCUGAUCCAUUUCUGUUCUCAUAAGUUUAGUGGAAGCAAAGCUGUGCCCGGCGCUAACCCCCACGCCAUCUAUUCAGGUCAACUAUUGAGAGAUGCCACUAUCACUAGGGCAACAAGUAAAACAAACAAUGCGUGGGUUUUGUAUGUGUAUGAAACACUAGACUCAGAUCAGUCAGCCACACAAAAUGUAGCUAGUGGGAACAGAAGGUCUGCGCCCAGUUCACCACGUCCUGCCUUUAUGAGACAGUGUGGGUGGUGGGAGUUUAAAAGCUGUCAGACUUUUUUUUUUCUUUUAUAAUCCAUGUUUACCACAACAGGGAGCUCUGUAAACACAUGGGUUUGCCACAACAUUAUUCCAACAAGCCGGCGUGCUUGUAUCCAGGGCACACCGAGGUCUUUCCAAUGAGGAGUUGAUUUGACUCCAAGAUGAGCUGGCUCCUAACUGUUUAACUUUUCCCAGGCUUUUGCUAACAUUGUGGCUCAGAACAAUGACGGGUGCAUCGUAACUUUGAGACUUCAGGUUCUCUUUCAUCUGGCCGGUCUUUUUGCACAGGUGUUUAAAAUCAAAUACCUCUGACCCUCCAAGUACCACAAGGUUCUUUUCCAGUUGUUCAUCUGUCUCUAGUUUCUGCAUCUGACCCAGCUGACUAAUACUAGAGCUGGUACUUGCUCUGAAUUUAAUAUAGUGGUGACAAAGACAACUUUGCCGCUGGGCUGUUGAGUAAUCAUCCCAUACACAGCGCGCACUCCAGGAAAGUUUUUAGAUUGUGUGUCACUGUGUGGCUUCCGUAGGCAGAGAGGAUUUCAACAUAUCCAAUCAGGAAACACCCUUAAGCCCUGGGAGAGCUGGCAAAAACAGAUUUAUGCACAACACAUGUGAGCCGUGCGCCGGUAAGAGUACACGCUAACUAUUCUAGAUGUCGUAAUCGCAGGCUCUUAUCUCAGUGUCCAUAGGAGGGAGGGUUUUAUCAGCUUGGGCUAUACAAGCUGGAGAAAAACAGAGUGUACACAAAGUGACCAGGGACAUAGUGACUUGAAAACAGGAAAGAGAGGCCAGGUGCUAAGACAAACAACAUUAGGUGACACAUAGGGUCAUAACCACUUGUGUUGAUAGCUAACUCAGGACAGGAACAGUAAAUACUCUUAGAAAGGAGAUUGUAGCACAGCUCAUUUUUCCCAAAGUGUUAUCUGAUGUCCAACUUUGGUGUGUGAAGGCACCCCAAUCGCCACAAUAAAUGUUGGCAUUGUGUGUUUCUGCAAACCAUGGAUAUGUAACAGACAUGUUGAAACAUUACAUUUUAAUAACACUGUGGUUAAAGAUACACUCUGCGGAAUUUUGUGUUUGUGAACCUGUACCCCCACAGCACCCAACUGAAGUCAGGGCUUUAUGAAAAGGUAGCAACCAGGUGCCAGACUUUAAGCAGCAAGCUUCUAAGAGACACAUCCCAGAAACAAUGCAAGUAUAGCAAGGCGAAACACCAAACAAGAGUGAAUCUAGGGUUGGUUUUUACUUCCACUUUCGCUGGUGUGUGUGUUCACAAACAAUUACCAAUAAUCCUGUAAAGUAAAUCUAAGAUAUAUAUAUUUUGUAGGGCCUUUUUGCCUUUAAUCGACAGGAUAGUUCUUCUUCAUGAAAGACGGGGAGAGAGAGAGAGAGAGAGGGGAUGUCAUGCACCAAAGGGCCGUGGGUUGGAAUCUAACCCCCAGCUGCUGCGGCAAGGACAAAGUCUUUGACAGUGGGGUGCCUGCUCUACCAGGUGAGCUAAUGGCCACCCCCGCAAAGUAUGACUUUAACAUGUGGUUAUGUUUAGGCAUGGACAUGACUUGGUUAUGGUUUGGAAAAGGUCAUUUUUUGGCUUAAAACACGCUUUUGGUGGCACAAUCACAGCUCAAAGUGCUGCCAAUGGCUCACCAAAAGACACCCAGUUUUUGUGGCACAGUCACUACUGAAAAUGCUGCCGAUAUCUCACUAAAAAACAAGCAGUUUUGCUAUUUGUUGCUCUCAAAGUGGUCUGCAGCUUGGCAGCUGGCUUGCCUAGAUGUCACGCUAUUCACCAUCCCCUGGGGCGGCUGUGGCUCAGAGGUAGAGGAGGUCGUCCACAAAUCAGAAGAUCAGUGGUUUAAUCUCCAGCUCUUCCAGCCAAGAUGUCGAAGUAUUCUUGGGCAAAAUAUUGAAUAGUGAAUAGUGGUUACUGGCCACUUGAGUGAAUAGACACCUGUGUAUGUGUGAAUGUGACGUAGCGUUGAAGAAGGAAGAAGGUAAGAAAAGCGCUAUACAAAUGCAGUCCAUUUACCUCCUGAUGACAAAGUCAGCUCAUACACAUGUAUUCAGAGCUAUGUUACUUUAGAAACAUUGAUAUAUGUCUGCCAUCUACAAAUGUAGAAACAUACAAUUACAGCAUUUUCUUCUAGCGACUGGGCUGAUGAAGGAAGGAAGGAGUGUGUCUCAUUUUCUCUGACCACCACACAGAAUUGAUUGACCCUGUUAUGCAACAUGAACAUAGCUGAUUCAAGAUGUCAGAAAAGGACAACGUGCCAAACAGUGUGUUGUCAACAGUGUUUAAAGUACUGUUCAACCACAAGUACAAAACAUACAGUUAUACAUACUUACACUCACAGGAUGUUUUUUCAAAUGUAGAAAAUGAAGUGAUCAUCAGACCAACAGAGUCACAAAGUGUUGCAGAGCCCAGUUAUUCACUGCUGAAGCAUGCUACACACCCUCACUGCAGUAGGAGUGACACACAUGACAACGUGCAUGACUACAACAAGCUCUGACAUUGUGUGCUCUCUGCAGGGUCGUAUGUCAUGAUUUAGAUGAUUGUGUGUCGACUCUAAUCAGUCGCCAGUCACCGUGGCUCCAGUCGUGAAAGCUGCUGUCAGUGAUUUGGACGCUCUGCUCCUUUCAGCUCCGGCUGAGGGGGCAGGCAGCACAUCCUGCCUGGAGAGGAGACCCAGAGUAAUGUCCCUGUCCCACAGCCGUGUGCCAACCAAACCGCAUGAGUCAAGCCUUCGUGGUAAGUGUGGGUGGCUUUCCUCCUGUGACUACUCCCUGACCCAUCUCUCUCAAACUCCCUCUCACUCUUCCUCUCUAACUCCAUCUUUUCCGUGUGAAUCAUCGAGCCGAUUUUUAGGUGAUGAAUGUUUAUCCCCGGAAAUACCUCUUGACUUCCUGACCAUGAUUUGAAUGAAGGUGUAAACAUCACCAAUACUACACUGGCUUUGGAACAACUUGACACUGUGUUUGCAGAGCUAUAGUCGAGUCACAUGAGAGAUCUGCAUUACGUCACGUGGACAUGUGCCUAUGCAAACACAAAGGCCAGAAGACAGCAGGGAGUGGUGUUUGUGCUCUUGUACAAGUAAGGUGCUCAGUGACGGCCAGCACGUCCAUCAGACUUAAGUCUCUCCCAUUAAAAAAUCCAUUCUUCUCCAGUGUGUCUGCUGUUGUUCUGAGUAACAGGCAACUGGGGACUAGGAAAACACAUCCAGGGUUGCAUCUGCUUCUUCUCACACAGAGUGCCAACAACAUGCUGACAUACUCCCAUGAAGUGCUGCCUGUGCUCUGAGCUCUGCUGUUCAUCUCGUGCUGACGUUAUUUAUCCCACUCUUACGCUUGAAAUGACUCAAGUGCAUGUGGACGUACUGUACGUACACGUGAACACUCCCGAGAUGCUUUAUCUACUUCCUAUUCACUCAGUUUCCCAGGGCAGGGGGAAAAGCCAGAGGAAGCAGAGCUGUUGUUGUCUCUCUCGGCUGGGUGCUUCCUGUCCUGAUAGAGGGCCGAGAAGAGAUAUCCCUGAAAGGAGCUGUUGGAACAGGGGAGGGAAGAGCUGGGUGUUUUGGACCCCUUUCAAUGACUUACAAUCUUAUCUAGCCUGAGUUUGGUAUGCAUCCACUAGUUAGAGCGGGGCACAGUUGAAGAGAAUGUGUUUGAGCCUCCCUGCUUCCCCUCUCCAUCACAUAUAGUAAACAGUUUGCAGAGCUGCAGAUAGCCCUUCAUCAGCAGACUCUG
Molecule: long non-coding RNA, 5914 nt
Organism: Epinephelus fuscoguttatus (brown-marbled grouper)
Lineage: Eukaryota; Metazoa; Chordata; Actinopteri; Perciformes; Serranidae
Exons: 4
Source: RefSeq, a predicted model, not a curated record